This is a long non-coding RNA of Limanda limanda (common dab), 659 nucleotides long. RefSeq lists it as uncharacterized. NCBI's taxonomy places the organism in Eukaryota, Metazoa, Chordata, Actinopteri, Pleuronectiformes, Pleuronectidae. The record is from RefSeq and is a predicted model, not a curated record. The transcript is spliced from 3 exons.
CCUGGGUCCAGAUCUCGGACCUGCCAACCGUCUGGAAUGUGUCUAGAGCUGUGCCCUGUGACAACUGUUUCUGUCAGCUGGGAAACACCUGACCAAUCAGAGCUACUGUACAUUCAUAAACAACAGUGACACAAAAAUGGCGACAACUGAGGCCCGCGGUGUGUUGUUGCCUUCCUCUGACUCAACGCUGGGCCGGACUUCAUCCAGACCUCUGCUGCUUCACAUGGAGCCCACAUGCGUGAGCUCCCGGUCCUUGGCUCGAAUCUCGUCCCUCUGCUUGUCCACCACUUCUUUAAGCUUCUUCAUCACCUGCCUCUCUCUCUCCGUCAUACCUGGACACCACAGACAGAGGAGAGGACAGUGAGGGAGUGUGUACACACAAAAUUAUUUUUUAUCAGUAAAUCAGAAAUUGAUUUUAUUCUUUUUAAUUUGUCUUAAUUGUUAGAGGAACUGAAAGGAGAUGAAUAGAGGAAACCCUGGUGUGUGGAUGUGUGUGUUUGUGUGUGUGUGUGUGUGUGUCUUUGUGUGUGUGCGAGAGAGAGUGAGAGAGUCUAGCAGGUGUGCUUAUACACUGAGGCUGUUCUUUCCUCAGCGUGUCAGGGUGACUGGGGGACUGUGGCCUCUGUGUGAAACCGCGAAAGAGACUGGCUCACAGUCAG